This 47-nucleotide non-coding RNA is filed under the name Marmota monax (woodchuck). It matches the Rfam family "Histone 3' UTR stem-loop". From Rfam's summary of the family: The mRNAs of metazoan histone genes lack a poly-A tail. 3' end processing occurs at a site between a highly conserved stem-loop (modelled by this family) and a purine rich region around 20 nts downstream (the histone downstream element, or HDE). The record is from RNAcentral. Lineage: Eukaryota; Metazoa; Chordata; Mammalia; Rodentia; Sciuridae.
CCAAAGGCUCUUUUAAGAGCCACUUUUCAGUUUCACUUUAAGGAGCU